CCACAUAUCAUUCUCAAAACUGAUUUGGAAGAGCUCUUCUUCUAAACAUAAAGCGUUCUUCUUCCCAAUUAUACCCACCAUUUUCAAGACUUUUGAAGCUGAGUUUUGACUUCCAAUUUUCUUUGUUUAGAAGAGGUAAGCGAAUUUUUUGUGUAAAUUCCUUCCUUUGACAUUUUUCUGUUAAGAGUUUUUUAAUUUCUUCCCCAAUUUUUGUCUAUGAAAUCUUAGGGUUAGGAAUGGCAAACAUCAAGUUGAAUUAGUUGUGCAUGGAUGAAAAUUGAUCCAACGCAUGCCGGUGGACGAUGCAAACAUGGGAUUUGUUGCAAACGCGAACUUUUUGGUCAGAUCGGAAUCCCGAAAGAUGAUUUUGGUCUUGUCCUCACUAUGAGGUAUGCUUUCAUGUUCUUAGCCUAUCGAUUAAUUUAAAAAUUAAUGUUGAUUGGGUCGUUAUUGUAUUCUUUAAAUUUUAGGCCAUGCAUUGCAAGUUUUUCAGAUGGAGAGAUAAGGAAAGAGUUGAUGAAAGAUUAAAUUUUAUUCUUACGAGAUUGGUAAACAAAAUCAAAUAGUUAGAAGAAAAUUACGAACGUCUUAAGCUGCAUUUGACAAGCUUGAAGAUUCAAAAUGGAAUGUUAAUUAGAAAGGGAAUAGUAUGAAGGAAAAAAUAGAAGAAACUUGUGUAGAAAAUUUAUUUAGUUUUUUAUGGUUUGUGUAACUAUUGUUUAUGUUACCAGCUUAAUCCAAGUUGGCAACUUGAAGGAAAAUCAAAUGGAGUUUCCAUAGUAGCUGAUUGUUGUAGUAAUAUAAGAUCAUUUUGGUAUUGAUGUCGGAUAGGGUAAGGUAGAUGUGGUUUGGUUGUCUACUUCAUUUUGUAUUGUAAUGAAACAUUAUUUUGAUAUUAUAAUGAAACAUUAUUUUGGUACUGUAUAAUAAUGGAUCAUUAUUGUGGUACCAUGGUAUCAUUUUCUGUGGAAAAAUAUUCUCUUGUUACCGUUUAAGCAAAUGUUGGCAGAAAAACAAGAAGCCUCUUGGCAACAGUUUCAUAACCCGAAUUUCCCACCUACAGGACUCAUGAUGGUGCCUAUUAAUGGGAUCUAGACAAGCCAAACUUAAAUACUUUUUCGUUAAUAACAUAAUCCCUUUUAACAAUUAUCAGCAAUAAUAUAAAAGCAACAUAGUUAAUUAAAUAAGCGGAAGUCUUAAAUUUAAGAAAACUGAAUUGAAAUGCAGAAAAUUCAACAUAAGUCUCUACCCAAGACUGGUGUCACAAUACUCACGAACUACCAAGAGUGCUAAAUACAACGUUUGAAAGAAAAUAUAAACUGUAUGUCAUGAAUACAUGGGAUAACUGACUGAAAUAAAAAAUAAAGGAGACGCCGUGCCCGCGGAUGCCUGCAAAGCUACCUUGGUAUCUCAUGGACUGAAGGCUCUCUCUCAGACUACUGCUGCGCUCCGAAUGCUGCUCUAGUAUCUGCACAUAGGUGCAAAGUGUAGCAUCAGCACAAUUGACCCCAUGUUCUGUUAAGUGUUUGGCAUAAUCCUGGCGAGGUAGUGACUAGGCUAGGACCAGACUACCAAUCAACAUGUGCAGUUCAAUAUAUACAUAUGCGACGGAAUAGAAGUACAGAAAAUAAUCUUUCAAAGAGGGAGGGGAACAUGCUGUGGGAAAGUAACAGUUCAGAAAUAGAAACACCAAAUAAGAAAUGAAACUGUACAACUAGAAUAUCAACAAGAGUAAGAAAUCAACAGUUGCACGGCAUCACCCUUCGUGAUUUUACUCUCGUUCUCACCAAAUCAAUCUUAUAAGGUACAUGACAUCACCCUUUGUGUUUUUACUCACUUUCCUUUCCAUAUAAUCAAUGAAUAUCGGUACGGAAUGGUACAUCGUACGGUAUGGCAUUACCUUUCAUGCUUUACACUCUUUCCUCAUCGUGAAAUUAAUAUAAUAGGCACGUAAUGGUACAUCGUGCAUCACCCUUCGUGCUUUUACACUUUUCCUCGCCCAAAUAACAAUCACAAACAAGGGGACAAGGGAGUAGCAAACAACAAUAGAAAUCCUGGCAAGGGAACACAAGUGAAUAGUUAAAUCCCGGCAAGGGAACAACAUCAAUAACCUUAACAUCCCAGCAAGGGAGAUAAUCAAUAAACAAGAAUAACCCGGCAAGGGUACCAUUUAGAUAUUCUUCCUCUUUCUUUCACUCUCAUUUCAUAAUUCACAUUACCACUUGAGCCAAUGCUUCAAAUGGUACAAUAGUUCAUAUACUUUCUCAGUUAGUAGAAUAACUUGAGCCAAUUCUCCCCGACGUUUGAAAGUCAUAAUCCUUUCCACAAAUGUUUCGCAACACCUAGAAAUCAUCUCUAAGGCAUGAAAUAUAUAACAUGAAUAAAGAUAUUCACAAUUUAUAAACUCACAGUCAUGCUAAACACCUACGUAUAGAUACUCUUCACCAUAUCUAUACGUCGUACUCAACAUAAAACAAGUAGCAAAUAUGACUCAACUCCUAAUCCCUCAAGCUAGAGUUAGACCGGACACUUACCUCAAUGCCUCGAACAUAACUCAAGUCUCAAUUAUAGCUUUACCCCUUGAUUCCACCAAAAAUCCGCUCGAAUCUAGUAAGAAGUUACUUAAUUUCAUCAAUAGACGCUAAACGAAUCAAUUAGAAUGCAUAAAAAUGAAUUUCCUAAAGUUUUGCCCAAAACGUCCAAAAAUGCCCCCAAACCUACGUGGUCAAAACCCGAGGUUUGAACCAAAACCCAAUUACCCUUUCCCCCACGAACCCAUAUAUGUGAUUUGUUUUGAAACCGGACCUCAAAUUGAGGUCCAAAUCCCCUAUUUAUGGAAAACCUAAGUUCUACCCAAAAACCCCCAAUUUCUCCCAUGAAAAUUUUUGAAUUUAGGUUGAAAAUAUGUUAAAGAUUCAAAUAAAUGAGUAAAAACUAACUUACAAUUGAUUUGGAAAAGAAAUGAUUCUUGGAAAAUCGCCUAAAUGUGUUUGAGUUUGAGAACAUAUGAAAAAUGGGGUUCAGAAUUGGUUAAGUGUUAAAAAUGCAGGUUUUAGACGUGGGAAAUACGAACAGGGGUUCGUAAUUGCAAACCCCGACAUGCUAACAUAGGAAAUGAGAGACUGGGUUCACAUUUGCGAACCCUUUAGGAUUUCGGGACCUUCGCAUUUGCGAAGUGAAGGCUGCAUUUGCGACAGGACGGACAUUGCAUUUGCGAAGAUGUGCUGGCCUGGGCUUACUUCGCAAUUGUGAAUGGCCACUCGCAUUAUGCGAAGCCUACAAACCUGCUAUGCUCAGCUGCAAAUUUUUGCUACAUUCUAAGUUCCAAAUGCACUCGUGGCCUAUCCAAAACUCACCCGAGCCCUCGGGGCUCCAAACCAAACAUGCACACAACCUCAAAAAUAUCAUACGGACUUAUUCGUGUGAUCAAAUUACCAAAAUGACAUCAUAUACAUCACAUUAAGCCUCAAAAUUCAUGAAUUCUUCUAAAUUUCAUAAAAUAUCGAAUUUUCCAUUUUAAGUCUAAGACACGUCAAACGACGUCCGUUUUUAACCAACCUUUACAAAAAGUUCUUAAAUUAUAUAUAUGACAUGUACUAGGCAGGGCUAUCAUUUUCUAGUCAGAUUUCAUUUUCAAUUUCCUUAACUGUUUUUCAAAAAAUAAUUUUACUCAAAAAUUCAUUUCUCGGGAUUAGAACCUCGGAAUUUGAUUUCGGGCAUAUACUCAAGUCCCAUAUUUUCCUACGGACUCUCCAGAAUCGUAAAAUCACGAGUUAGGGUCCAUUUAUCCAAAAUAUUGACCGGAGUCAAAAUUAUUUAUUUUAACAUUAAAAUUUAGUAUUUUUCAUAGAAUUUCAUAUUUAAGCUUAUCGGUUGCGCAUCCAGACUAGCACGUAAAUUGAGGCAAUUAUAAAUAAGGUUUUUAAGACCUCAAAGACACAGAAUUUAAUUAGAAACAGGUGAUGAACCUUUGGGUCGUCACAAACAGCAGGUUAGCACAUUGUCCACGACUUUAGAAUAUCCAAACUAAUUGCAUGGGAAGAAAACUAUUAUAAUUUCCAACAAAUUACUUCAAUGGUACAUUUGAAUACCAAUAAUCUAAUAACAAAACAAAUGUUUCCAACAUAACACUUUGAGUACCAUUUCAUACACUACACUCAACACAAAAAUGGUACAUUUGAAUAUCAAUACUCCACAAUUCUAACAACACUUCAAAAAUUCCAUCAACUUCAUAACAACAAAACACCAUUCUAGGUAAAACUAAAAAUAAUAGGGCCAUAUCAACACUAUAAUUUCCAUUUUUGGGGCUGUGAAUCAGCAUUCCUUGAUUUAUCUCUAAUUUCUUGAAGUCUUCUUGUUGUAAUUGCUUGUUUUCCUUUCCACUUCAGUCCAUUAGUUGGUUUGAAACCAAUAUCACCAGUAAUAUCAGCUGAUCUUGUUAUCGCUGUUGAUGAUCUAGUGGAUAUUAUUCUGCUAGCCCAGGCUAUACAAAAAAUAGUUUAAUUAGUUUAAGGUACAUUUAGAUAAUAGCAGAACUGAUUGCAUUAAUACUUACAUUAAUAGUUUUGAAGCCAUUCUCAGAUGGAACACACCAUUCUCAUCAGUCUUGGCCUUUUAUAUAGUGUUGAGCUCCCAACACCCCUUCCCCUUCCUUUGGUAGCAGUAGAUGAACUAGGUGCAACAGAUACGAUAUCAGAUGCAUUUAGAGUUGAACAUGAAAACCAACUUUCAAGUGAAUGAUGUAUUGUUGCUCUUCCUUCCCCUCCUCCCCUUCCUCUUCUUCUUCUUCUCCUGCCUUCAGUGAAUUGUUGAUGAAAUUCCAAUAGUAGCAAAAGUAUUAGUUGUUGUAUUAUGAGCUUAAGAACUAGGAGCAGAGCACGUAAACCAACUGUCAAGUGAAGAAGUUGAUGAAAAUUCAGCACCAACAUAUGCAGUAGGUGUAGUAUUAGGUGCAUUAACGACAGAUACAUUAGUUUAUUUUCCUUGGUCUACAUCUUCAUCUUUUUACCGUAGGUUCACCUUCAUUAGUAGCUGAUUUAUGAAGAGAAAAAAAACAUGUUAAAUAGUGAACUAAAUUUAAAAGAUAUUGAUACAAAAUAGAAUAUUACCUUUGGUCUUCCUCUUCCCUUUCCUGAAACUGAUUGUUUUACAGCAGUUGUUGAUGAACUAGCACCAAGUCUAUCACUAUCUGGACACCCUCUUUUGUUGUGACCCCUCUCAUGACAGGGGCUACAUGUUAUUGCUAUACUAGUUUUAGGAAAUUUACCAGAGUUCUUAGUUUUAUUUGCCUCUUUCCUUCUAAGCUUUUUUUGUCUUCCAGGCAUGCCCUUGACAACUGGUAGUGCAAAAAAAGAUUGGUAUAUUCAGGCCACAUUGACAUAUACUCACUGGUUGAUUGAAAUUAGAAUAAGUUAACAAGUAUAUCUCCUUUUUGUAGCAACUAUCAAUGAAGUCAGUUGGUUCAACAUUGUCAUAAUACAUUGCACAUAUGGCAUAUGGACAUGGUAUCCCCCUUUAGCAUUCAAGAUCUGUAACAACAAAGCUUAUUUCUAAGACAUGUUUACCAUCACUUACUUCAUAUCAUGUUUGUCCAUUAAACUUAAUGGUACAUCUCAUUAAUUUUUCAAUAUUGUCCCCCAAUAUCUUUAAGGCCAUUGGAGAGAUGUUGGUGCUUCAUGUGUUUGCAAAUGCCCUUAACUUUCCUAUUCUGGUCAUCAUCUUGAUUCUAAUCUCUUCAAGCAUGCUAAUAAUAGGCUUUUGCCUUGCUGCCAAGAUCCAGGCAUUAGAACUCUCUAACAUGCUUCAUCCACUGCAUCACACUUCAAUUCACAGUUAAAUUACACCUUGCACCAAUACUCCUUGUUAUAAUAUAGUAGAUUAUCCAUUUUGUUCUUACCAAGCAUUAACGGUGUUUUCAGUUUUUUUAAAAAAAAUUCAGCUUCGUAUGUGCUUAUGGAAAAAAUCUAGAAUAAGUUCCUCCUUUGAAGCCCUCUCUAUUUUUUUGACCAAUAAGCUAAGAUGUGCAUAACACACAUCCUUUGUUCACAAGCUUGAAAGAAUUCUUUAAUUGCUGAAUCCAAUCUUUGUAAAUUACAGUUACAUGAAAAACAAAAAAUGAAUGAUAAGUCAGUUUCAAAGAAAGAAAGUGAAGCUAAUGAAACACAAAGUUACAAUUGCUGAAAUAUACCUUAUGCGUGUCAAUGAUCGAAGUGAAGCUUGUGCUAUCACCUAAUCCAAAAUCUUCCUUCGGCAAAGUUAAGACCCAUGACCAUUUAGUUUUCUUCUCAUAUUAAACUACUACACAAGUAAGUGGAAGCAUUUGGUUAUUACCAUCCUUAUCCACAACAACUAGUAGUUGCCCCCUACUUACACCCUUCAGAAAACAACCAUCCAAGCCUAUGCAUUUCUACCCCACAAGAAUUCAUUUUUAGUGCCUCAAACAUUUGUAGAAACUUACAAAUACUUGUCUACCAAGUUCAUCAGGUUCACGAAGCUUCACAACACAAGUUCUCUCAGGGUUGGUCCUUAACAACUCAUCCCUGUAAUCAAGAAUUCUACCAAACUUCACAUUAUGAUCACCUAUUAUUUGCUGCAAUACUUUAGCUCCUUCUCUCCUGAUUGUGGUCUUACCAACAUGAGCUUUGAAUUUCUUCCUAAUUAAUUCUUGCAACUUGAAUACUCUUAUAUUUGGUUGUUCAGUUAUUUUAUCUUUUAAAGACAUUGGCCAAGAAUUUAGAAUUGCAUAAGUAAUUUCCAGAGGCCCUCUCACAAUUGUGAAAUGAAUUGUAAGUCCUUGUAAUAAAAUUAUUAAUUACACUAUCCAAGCUUGCAAACAAAAGCCAACCGCAGUUAUCCUUGGUGCACCUUACCCUGGCUCUAAUUGUAUUCUUUUCAAUAAGAACUCUUUUUACAGUGCAUACCUAGUUACUACAUCUCUAAAGUCACUAACACUCUCAAAGAUCAUACCCAACUGCAAUACAAUCUUUUUUCAUAUUUGUCAAACUUCACACUCUUUAUAGAUUUAGAUAUCCUUUUUGUUAGUUUUACUUCAUGCCUUCCCCAUUUUCAUUCCAAUAUUCAGCUUCAUCAGUGUUAAAGCUACAAGCAUCAGAACUUGGAUAAUAUGGUUCAUCGCCACCUAGCCUUCCUUAUGCACUUUUUUUUACCUAUUUCAAUCUCAUCAAAACCAAGCUCUGGCCAUGCAUCGCCACAUGGUACAUCUUUAGCAUCAACAACAACUUUCUACUUUCUUUUUCUCCUUUAAAAUGACCUACUAUCCUUCCUAAUAUCUAUGGAUUCUUCAUGUACAUCACUUCCAUAAUCAUACCUCCAAAGAAGUCACUGUCUUCAGAAUUAUCACUAUCUUCAGUUGAUUCAUUAGAUCCAUCGUCGCUUGGAAAAUCUUUAGUUGGAGAAGAUUCUUGAUUUGAAAAAGCAGUUUCUUGUGUAUGUUGGAUGAACAAUUGGAUAUGCAGGAGCAACUAUAUUUGGAGGAGCAACAACAUUGAUUGAAGGAGAAGCACCAGUGUUUGAAGGAACAUCAAUGUUUGGAAGAUCAGCAGAACCAUUAAAAGCAGUCCCUUUACUAAAAGCUUAGCAAGAUUCGUCCUCAGGCAUGUGCACAUAUAAGUGGCCGAAAACUAUUUUACAACUUGAGUUGUACCCUAGUUCUUUACUAUAAUCCUUCAACUCAAAAUAGGAGAGGGUAUCCACAUCAGCAUCCAAAUAUUCACUCAUUACUCGACCAAAAUAUUUGGUUUCUCAUUUACAAACUCUAAGACCCCACCAUUAUAUAAUUUUAAAGUGAUUAAAGCAAAUCCAGUAAUACCUAUGUGCAAACAAAGCAAAAAAAAAUCGAUAAAACCAAAUUCAGUAGAAUUUGACAAACAAUAGAUACAAGUAUUAGAAAAAUAUUUAUUUGCAAAAAACCUGAACUUUUCACUAAACCGAUGUACAAUCAAAUCUCUGAGGUUAACAUGUACACAUUAAACCUCAAAUUUAAUCUGCCAAUCACAAAAUUGCAGGGGAUAAAAACAUUUAAAAUUCCCAAACUAACACAAAAAUAAUCAAAUACAGUAACAAACUAACUUUUGCUCUUGGAUUCUGAUGAAUAAAAAUCUUAGCGUUCCAAGUUGACCUUCAAUCGACACACGAAAAACCCUAGAACAUUAUUCUUGUUUAGCCUUCCAAUCUGAGCUCCCCUUCCUUGAAUUGAAUCAUUAAAUAAGGGGCUUUAUCUAAUAGUAUCCAAUUACAAGAGAAUAUUUUUUUUAUGUCUUGUUGAUUUCAUUAAGGAUCAAAAGGGAAGAUGAGUGUGAAGAAUGGGGGAAAUUUUUGGGUCGGAGGUGUUAUGUUUAAUGAAGAGGUAAAAAAGGAUAAAAAGGAGAAUGUGAUGGCGGACUAUUGGUUUUUGAUAAAUGAUGUGCGUGUCUACACCGCAUGUGUAACGACCCGGUCGGUUGUUUUGAGAAUAUUAGCCCCGACCCCCUAUUUUCUGCUUUCCCCAUAUCAUUUUAUGCUUAUGUGACUUGCCGGAAGGAUUUAUUUUUAUUUUUGGAGUGAAAUGGGACAUUUAGUCACUAAAAUAGAAGCUUAAGUUCUAGAAAUUUGACCGUAGUUUGAACUAUGUGAAGAUGAUUCCAGAAUGGAGUUUCGUCAAUUCCGUUAGCUCCGUUGGAUAAUUUUAGACUUAUGAGCAUGUCUGAAUUGUGAUUUGGAGGUACGUAGUUGAAUUGGGCUUGAAACGGUGAAAGUUGGAUUUUUGGAAAGUUUGAUCGGGAGUGAACUUUUUUAUAUCAGGUCCAGAUUCAAACUUUGAAAGUUGAAAUAUGUACGUAAUGUCAAUUAUGACUUGUGUGAAAAACUUGAGGUCAAUCAGACAUGUUUUGAUAGGUUUUGGCAUCGGUUGUAGAAGUUUAAAGUUUCACGUUCAUUAAGUUUGAAUUGGAGUGAAACUCGUGUAUUUGUUAUUGUUUGAUGUAAUUUUAGGGCUCGACUAAGUUUUUGUGAUGUUUUAGGACUUGUUGAUAUGUUUAGUUGAGGUUUUGAGGGCCUCGGGUGGAUUCCGAGUGGUAAACAAGCUAGACCUGGACUUGUUGGAAUUGCAAAAAAUAUGGUGCAUCAGUUGCUGGUUUCCUUCAUCGCGUUCGCGAGAGAGGUUCCAUGUUUACGUACGGCGUCUGGGAGUCCAGCUAGGUUUUUUCUUCACGUUCGCGAUGUGGUACCAACAUUCGUGAAGCUUUGGACCAUUGAGCCUACGUGUUCGCGAUAAGGUCCUUCCGUUCUCGUGGAGCAACGGGCAGAGGGGGUCCCAGGCAUUUAGCCUACGCAUUUGCGAUGAGGGUCCCGCAUUCUUAACAGGUCAGACUAUGUGAGCUUCCGCAUUCCCAAUUGGGCCAUCGCAUUCGCGAAGGAGGUUUUGGACUAAAGGAAUUUUUUAUGCUUCACGAACGCGAGGAAGCUUCCACGUUCGCAAAGAAUGAUUUCACUGGGUAGAUAUAAAUAUUUCAAAUCAAGUGUUUUACCAUUUUUAUCAAAAUUUGAGAUAGAUAGCUCGGAUUUGCAUGAGAUUUUGAGUGAUAUUCAGAGGCAUCAAUUUGAUUUAGGCUAUGCGGAGUUGGGAAAUUGAGAAAAAGGCAUUCUUGCUGAUCGAUUGAGCUUGGAUCGAGGUAAGUGGCUUGCAUAACCUUAUGGGGAUGGGGAAAAUCCCUUAGAAUUUGUUGUGAUACUUCUAUGGUUUGUGAUGCCGUGUAUGCAAGGUGACGAGUGCACACAUGGGCUAAUUGUUGUAAAAUUCAGUUUUCACUGAGCAGUAUUAUGUUACAUCUUAAUUGAGUUAUACAAGCAUGCGUAGUUAUCAUGUUUAGCUAUUACCUUUCUACGUGUUAUUUAAAAUCUAUUCAACAUGCUUAGUUGAUUCCCUUCUUUUUUCUUGAUUUGUAUCAGUCUUAAACUGUAGAGUUCUUGCUGUUAUGUUGUUUCCAUCGGUUUUGGGUUGCGUGUUUACUUUUGGGACUUUGAGGCGGUGCCUUGGGAGAUCCCCUACAUAUUUGCUUUUGGGACUAUGAAGCGGUACCUCGGGAGAUCCCCUUGCAUAUUUACUUUUGAGACUAAGAGACGGUAUCUCAGGGGAUCCCCUGUUGAGCAUUUACUUUUGGGACUGCAAGACAGUAUCUCAAGAGUGCCCCUGUUGUUUACCUCUAUGUGAUAUGUUGUUACUUAUCAAUAAAUUCUCUUUGUUAAUUUCUCAGCCUUUUAUCAUAUUGUUAUAUCUUCUGUCCUAUUAUUAUAACCGAGUAGGGCCCUGACCUGUUGGCCCAAAAACAGGUGAAGUGUUGAAAAAUGACAAAUGAACUCAGUCAUGGACCAUGUCUAUCUUGUUAAGCACAGUCAUGAUCAACCUAUACAUGUGAGAUGCACGUGAAGAAGAUAAGUCCUACUGAUCAAGCAUCAAUAUCUCCUGAUAUGAUCGAAAAGGUUGCAUAUUAGAUAAGGGAAGAAAGUUUCCUUAUAUGAAGAGAACACAAUCCAGGAUAAAGAUGGUGUUAGAGUUUGAGAUCUUCAUGAACUCUUCUACGAUUGAGUCCCAACCAAACUCUGAUUACUAACCUAUUAAAUGACAGUGAUUGUUCUCUUUUACAGGUAAUGCACAUAUACAAAAGUUAAACUAAAUUGAGAGCAAGAGAGAAAGGUGAUUUUACAAGCAAUUUAUGUGUGAUUUGACUGUGCACUCCUGAAGCUACUUGAACGAGAUAGAAGAACCCGUUUCAUUGUGUCUAUCUUUUAUUCUAGUUCAAUUGUUGUAUGUGGUUUAAAGUUGUACCUUUCAGCUUUGAUAGAAGCAAUUAUAUUAGGUACCUAGUAGGGGUGUUCAUCGGGAGGAUUGGGCGGCUUUUUACUCUUAACGGUUUGGCUUAACGGUUAUCGACUUUUAAAUGUAUUCAUCCGUUAGCUACCCGAUAAGAUAUCGGACGGAUUGGUAUCGGAUUAGCUCUUAUCGGGCGGUUACCGGGCGGUUUAUCUGUUUAAACCUAAGGGCUCAAAUGUAUUCUGUCUGCACACUACAUUGUCCAAUGUCCAGUUUAUUUCUACUUCUUUUCCUAUUUCAAUUACAUGAAAAACACUGAAAGAAAUACAGUCCCAUACUUGCUAGUUGUUGAAAAUAGGACCAAGUACAAUUAGAAAAGAUUAUUGAUGUUAGCUUCUGAGUAAUGUGGUAUGUGUAUAUAUAUACGUAUUCAUUGGUGCAGAAAAAUCUACAAUCAUUAAAGUUGGUCAUGAUUCUGCAGCUAAAAAUAUACAAAUUAUUGUCGACGAAGAAAAUAAUAUUAAUGAUCGCAGCUCCAUCCUUGAAAUCCGUGAGUCCAAAAUUAAUACUUCAAAUAUUCUAACUAUAACUAUUCCAGUGUCAGGAUCAGGAUCAACAUCAGGUGCAUUUAGAGAAGUUUCAACUCCAGCAGUUACUGCGGAUAAAGGUAUGUAUCGAUCUGCUAAGCCAAUAAUCUCAUAAGCUCAUAUUACUCUCUUUCUUUUAUUACUUUGAGCUUAAAUGGACCUUAUCAUUAGAUCCAAGCUCAACCUUUAUGAUUUUUAAUGAAUUUAAGAAGGAAAAAAAUUUGAAAAUUUUCUUUUUUUAUCCAGAUUAGUUAGCCACAUGUUCUACUUUCAAUUUGGUGUUUUCCUUAAAACAUAAAAUUGGGUUCCUAAUAUUUUAUAUUUGAUGGAAAAUAACCACUACCUAUCAAAGUAGUAGUUUGUUCCUGAUAUUUUAUAUUUGCGCAGCUGGUGUGUACACUAAUAUCUGAGACGAAGCACGGAUAUGUCACUCAUGAGGGAUGAUCGAUCCACACACAGUAUUUGGUAAUCAGACACUCAAAAUAUAACUUUGUAUUUAAUCUAUUCUGCUCUGGGAGUCUUAGACUCAACAUGUAUUUGACUCUUCAACUCAGAGAUGGAUAAUUAAGCAUCAAAAUAUUCAGAUUUGAGUACUCACUACUCUAGCAUAAAUACAUGUAAAAUGUGCGAGUCUGUUUAAGACUUGUAAAAUAAAUUAUAAGGGCUCAAAUGUAUUCAGAUUUGUAAAAUAAAUUAUAAUGAUUAUCCGGUGAAAAAAUUAUUUCCAGAGAGUAAAUUACUCCAUUUUAAUUUUUAACUAUAACUCUGCAACAUUUUGAUACCUACUUUACAAGAGCUUUGACAUUUUGUCUCAUUUUUUUGUACUGUACACACAAGAAGACGACGAGUACCUGUACCUGGAGAGACGAGGUGGCGACAGGGUGACCGGCGACUGGUGGAAGUAGACGACGACGAGCGAACGGACGCGGAGACUGGAGAGGAUUGGUGGCUGCUGCUUUAACAGUGUUAGGGACUUAGGGUUUCUCAGUUUCUCUAGAGACUAUAUCUCGAAUGAGGCAGAGGAAUUAGACAUUUAGAUUAGGAAAUAGAAAUUAGAAAAUUAGGGGUAAUGGGUAUAGACAGAAGUCACUACUCACUGUCUCACUCAGUCAGAACAAACGGUGGGGGUGGUUUGUUUCUGUAAUUUAUUUUUGUUAUACACUUAUACUUAUUCAUUUUUAAGGUUUUUAGUUUUUUAUAUUUAAUAUAUAUAAUUAUAUAAGNNNNNNNNNNNNNNNNNNNNNNNNNNNNNNNNNNNNNNNNNNNNNNNNNNNNUAACGGCUUAACGGAUUAUCUGUUAAGAAAAUUGAAUAAUCGGUCCCCAAACCGAUAAGCCGUUAAUAAAUAAAAUUCAAUCCGUUCUCUGUGCUUAAGCCGUUACCAUUAAGCCGUUAAGCUUUGGUUCGGUUGGGUUUUCGGUUCGGUUCGGUUUUCGUUUUCGGAUCGGUUUUGAACACCCCUAGUACCUAGAGUGUUCAAGUUAUAGCCAACUUGAAGUUGUCGCAACAGUUGAGGUUAUAUGCCACAACGGGAUUAGUGUUAAUCCUUAGGUUCACAAAGAGUUUUUGUUAAAUGUUGUUUUGACUCAGUGAUUUUAGCGGAAGUUUGGGAAAAUCCUACUGAGUAGUAGGUCGUGGUUUUUUCACCUUUUGAGCAAGGUGUUUUUCACGUAAAAAUCUCUGUGUUCUUUAUUUUUUAUAUUUAUUAUUCCGCAAAUAGUAGUAGUUGGAGCACCUAGAAGAACCAGGUUCUUCUAUAGUUCAGUUAAGCGAAAAUUAGGUAUUAGGGAUCACAUCAUAGUCACUGAUGGAGCAACUACAUAGAAGAAUGUUGAAGGAGUGGAUGUGCCAAAGACAAGAGUUGACUGCACUACUGAAGACCUGAAGAAAUGGGAGAAGAAUGUCAAGGCCAAGAAAUGGCUUGUGUGUGGACUGGAUCUAAACGAUACAGUAGAAUUCAAAGUUGUACAAUUAUUAAGGAAAUUUGGGACACUUUGCAAGUGGCUCAACUCAAGUGAAGAGGUUCAGAGGAACACUGCUAUAUUCUCAAUAUGAGAAUUUCUCCAUGAAGGAAGGAGAAACUAUCCAAGAGAUUUAUACAAGGUUCACCAUAUUGACAUAUGAACUUAAGUCUCUUGGAAGGGUUAUUAUUGAAGAAGACAAAGUUGAGAAGAUUUUGACAAGGGUUCUGCCAGUCUCUUGGGAAAGCAAAAUCAUUGCUAUUCAGGAAUCAAAGAAUAUUGCUAUCCUUAAGCUAGAUGAACUAAAUGGAAACCUCAUUGCAUAUGAACUAAGAAGGCAACCCAUAAAAAUGGAUGCACCCAAAAAGGAAAGAAAUCCAGCUCUAAGAAUUGAUGAAGGUUCAGAUUUGGAGGAUGAUGAAAUGGCUAUGAUCGCAAGAGAUUUCAAUAAGUACCCGAUGAGAGGAAAGGGUUUUUCAAGAGGUACAACCUUCAACAAACCAAGGGCUCCUAAGAAACAGACCAAUAAGGGUUGAUACAAAUAUGGUAAGACUGAUCACAAAAUAAAUAACCGUCCUCAAUAGAAAAUUGAGUGGAAGAAGGAAAGGGCUGAACGAAGGAACAUGUUAAACAAAACGGAAGAAAGGAUCAACAAAGGCUAUGGUUGUUGCAUGGGGAGAAACAUCAGAUGAGGACUCAAAAGAUGAAGCUGUAGAUACAAGCAUUUAUGGACAUCGGAGAAUUAGAUGAUGAACAAGAGGUAAGUAUCCUUCAUCUCAAAGACAAGAUCAAAUUCUUGUCUAAAGAAAGGUUGUCUGAACUACUGCUAGACUUCAUUGAUGAGUCUGAGAUAAUUAACAAUGAGAAGGAAGAUCUGUCUAGGGAAUAUUCCUAUCUAAAGAAAGGUUGUGUGAGCUACUGCUAAAUUUCAUUGAUGAGUUUGAGGUAAUUAACAAUGACAAGGAAGAACUGUCUAGGGAAUGUGUUAUCCUAAUAGCCAAGUGCAAAUAUCUAGAGUCUAGGGCUAAUGAGAGUGAUAGUAAAAAUGCUGAGUUGAAGAACAAGGUUCUUGAACUUGAUACUAGUGUCUUAGAACUUAGUGGCAACAUAUCUCUAUCAAUGAUAACUGUUGUUUUUCUCUUGUUCAAUGAUUAAUCUGUCCUUGACAAUUUAAAUAUGUUUGUUUGAUUACUGAUGGUUGUACCAUGAUUGUACUUGUAGUUUUCCUAGUGUCCAUAAGUACUUGUUAAAAUAUCGGUAUCACACUUCGUAUGUAACUUUUUGAUGAUGCCAAAAGGGAAAGAGAUAUUGUGCUUUAUAUAUUCUAAAAAUAAGUGAUAUUUAUAAACUGAUUAACCUGGUCCUUGAUGAUAGUGAAUUUUUUAAAUUUAGUGUUGAUGGUUAAGUUGAGUUCAUACAGUGUCCAAAUCAAUUAAAAGCAUAGAGUUUGUUAUCAUCAAAAUGGGAGAAUUUGUUGGCCCAAGAACAAGUAAAAUUUUGAAGAAUGACAAAUGAACUCAGUCAUGGACCAUGUCCAUCUUAUGAAGCACGGUCAUGAUCAACAUAUACAUGUGAGAUGCACGUGAAAGAGAUAAUUCCUACUGAUCAAGCAACAAUAUCUCAUGAUAUGAUCGAAAAUGUUGCAUAUUAGAUGAGGGGAGAGUCUCUGUAUUAUAUGAAGAGAACACAAUCCAAGAUAAUAUGGUGUUAGAGUUUGAGAUCUUCAUGAAUUAUUUUGCAAUAGAGUCCAAACCAAACUCUGAUUACUAACCUAUUAAAUGGUAGUGAUUUUUCUCUUUUACAGGUAAUGCACAUACGGAAAAGUUAAACUAAAUUGAGAGCAAAAGAGCAAGGCAAUUUUUCAAGCAAUUGAUGUGUGAUU
This 15236-nucleotide long non-coding RNA is filed under the name Nicotiana benthamiana. RNAcentral's name for it is "long non-coding RNA (NBEN_LNC017669)". The record is from RNAcentral. Lineage: Eukaryota; Viridiplantae; Streptophyta; Magnoliopsida; Solanales; Solanaceae.